Molecule: non-coding RNA, 31 nt
Filed under: Rattus norvegicus (Norway rat)
Lineage: Eukaryota; Metazoa; Chordata; Mammalia; Rodentia; Muridae
Source: RNAcentral
UGAAAAUAAGCUUUAUUUUAUGUGGGAAUCC